GGGGGCGACCUGGUUUCGACGGGGGCAUGGAAGUUCGAGACGCGUGCCGAGCUUGUUGGUUCGCUCGUAAAACCAACCGACAAAGACACAAAAGCCAACGACAACGUUGAGCUCGCGCUGGCUGCCUAACUAGCAGUUUCCUGGUGCGCGGUCCUCCUGCUCUCGGCCCGUGGGGUGGGGUAGGACCGUCAUAAUGCGGGCUGGCCGUCGAGGGUGCCUGGACUCUCGGCGGUGAGAUCAUCCAGGACCGGCUCACAGAAUCCCGUCCGUGGGAGUCUGGGGGACGUAGCAAAUCGCGGACUACGCACGUAGGGUCAAAGGACGGAAGGCUUUCGGACGCGGGUUCGAUUCCCGCCGCCUCCACUG
RNAcentral lists this transfer-messenger RNA (366 nucleotides) under Archangium violaceum. Its description in RNAcentral is "Standard tmRNA". It matches the Rfam family "transfer-messenger RNA". From Rfam's summary of the family: Bacterial tmRNA, also known as 10Sa RNA or SsrA, is named for its dual tRNA and mRNA-like properties. Its role is to liberate the mRNA from a stalled ribosome. RNAcentral also lists the same sequence under 1 other name. Lineage: Bacteria; Pseudomonadati; Myxococcota; Myxococcia; Myxococcales; Archangiaceae. The record is from RNAcentral.